CCUUACGGCCAUACCAGCCUGAAUACGCCCGAUCUCGUCUGAUCUCGGAAGCUAAGCAGGGUCGGGCCUGGUUAGUACUUGGAUGGGAGACCGCCUGGGAAUACCAGGUGCUGUAAGCA
This is a ribosomal RNA of Scophthalmus maximus (turbot), 119 nucleotides long. Lineage: Eukaryota; Metazoa; Chordata; Actinopteri; Pleuronectiformes; Scophthalmidae. The record is from Ensembl.